UGAGUAACACGUGAGUAACCUGCCUUACACAAGGGGAUAGCCAUUGGAAACGAUGAAUAAUACCCUAUGAAGUAGCCUAAUCGCAUGGUUAAGCUACCAAAGUGCUUAGUGGUGUAAGAUGGACUUGCGUCUGAUUAGCUAGUUGGUGAGAUAAAAGCCCACCAAGGCGACGAUCAGUAGCCGGCUUGAGAGAGUGUACGGCCACAUUGGGACUGAGACACGGCCCAAACUCCUACGGGAGGCAGCAGUGGGGAAUUUUGCACAAUGGGGGAAACCCUGAUGCAGCGACGCCGCAUGAUUUAGAAAGUCUUCGGAUUGUAAAAAUCUUUUGUAUAGGAAGAAAAUGACAGUACUAUACGAAUAAGGUCCGGCUAAUUACGUGCCAGCAGCCGCGGUAAUACGUAAGGACCGAGCGUUGUCCGGAAUCAUUGGGCGUAAAGGGUACGUAGGCGGUCUAGUAAGUUAGAAGUGAA
RNAcentral lists this ribosomal RNA (473 nucleotides) under uncultured bacterium. RNAcentral describes it as "bacterial SSU rRNA". It matches the Rfam family "Bacterial small subunit ribosomal RNA", at positions 107 to 598 of the family's 1533-position model. The record is from RNAcentral.